This 839-nucleotide ribosomal RNA is filed under the name uncultured archaeon. Its description in RNAcentral is "bacterial SSU rRNA". It matches the Rfam family "Archaeal small subunit ribosomal RNA", at positions 21 to 859 of the family's 1478-position model. The record is from RNAcentral.
AGGUUACUGCUAUCGGUGUUCGCCUAAGCCAUGCGAGUCAUAUGUUCUUCGUGAACAUGGCGUACUGCUCAGUAACACGUGGAUAACCUGCCCUUGGGUCCGGCAUAACCCCGGGAAACUGGGGAUAAUUCCGGAUAACGCACAUAUGCUGGAAUGCUUUAUGCGUCAAAUGGAUUCGUCCGCCCAAGGAUGGGUCUGCGGCCUAUCAGGUAGUAGUGGGUGUAAUGUACCUACUAGCCUACGACGGGUACGGGUUGUGAGAGCAAGAGCCCGGAGAUGGAUUCUGAGACAUGAAUCCAGGCCCUACUGGGCGCAGCAGGCGCGAAAACUUUACAAUGCGGGAAACCGUGAUAAGGGGACACCGAGUGCCAGCAUCAUAUGCUGGCUGUCCGGGUGUGUAAAAUACACCUGUUAGCAAGGGCCGGGCAAGACCGGUGCCAGCCGCCGCGGUAACACCGGCGGCCCGAGUGGUGAUCGUGAUUAUUGGGUCUAAAGGGUCCGUAGCCGGUUUGGUCAGUCCUCCGGGAAAUCUGACGGCUUAACCGUUAGGCUUUCGGGGGAUACUGCCAGACUUGGAACCGGGAGAGGUAAGAGGUACUACAGGGGUAGGAGUGAAAUCUUGUAAUCCCUGUGGGACCACCUGUGGCGAAGGCGUCUUACCAGAACGGGUUCGACGGUGAGGGACGAAAGCUGGGGGCACGAACCGGAUUAGAUACCCGGGUAGUCCCAGCCGUAAACGAUGCUCGCUAGGUGCCAGGCAUGGCGCGACCGUGUCUGGUGCCGCAGGGAAGCCGUGAAGCGAGCCACCUGGGAAGUACGGCCGCAAGGCUGAAACUUAA